Molecule: ribosomal RNA, 594 nt
Filed under: Triticum aestivum (bread wheat)
Lineage: Eukaryota; Viridiplantae; Streptophyta; Magnoliopsida; Poales; Poaceae
Description: partial small subunit ribosomal RNA
Source: RNAcentral
AUGUGCAAUGCCAAGGCCUGCAUGCUAGUGUAUGGCGAGGGCGAGGGGGUACCAGAGGUGUUCCCGUCCCAUGCUGAGGCGGUGGCUAUCCUCACUCAGUACAAGAAUAUGCCGGAAGGGAAGUUCAAAAAGACGGUGAAUCAAGAAGGCUUUCUCAGCCAACACUUUGACAAGCUCCACGCCAAGGGCCAAAAGUUCCAGGGCGUCUGUGAAGACAACGAGACCAGAGUCCUCCUGCACAAGGCCAUGAGCAACCUCUCGAGCCUCGACGGCCUCAAUGUCGAGGAUCUCACCAAUGUUGGCCGAAAGCUGGAGCCCCAGGAGCCAUAUGUCACCAACAAAAUGGACAUGGGGUCUCCAACAAUGUAUCACGCACCACCUCCAGCUCCAUACGUCAUAGACUACAUGCACAUGGAGUCUCCAUCGACUUACCAGGCACCACCACCACCUCCAUACAUCACUCACAACAUGGACAUAGGGACUUCAACGAUGUAUCAGGCGCCAUCCCCAGCUCCCUAUGUCACUGAUGGCAUGGACAUGGGGCCUCCGAUGAUGUUAAGGCCACAUGGCAGCAAGAGGAUUCACUUGGCAUGA